UAGGGAAUAUUUGGCAAUGGAUGCAAGUCUGACCCAGCCAUGCCGCGUGCCGGAUGAAGGCCCUCAGUGUUGUAAACGGCUUUUAUUCGGGAAGAAGAGCAGGGAUGCGUCCUUGUGUGACGGUACCGAAUGAAUAAGCACCGGCUAACUCCGUUCCAGCAGCCGCGGUAAUACGGAGGGUGCGAGCGUUGUCCGGAUUUAUUGGGUUUAAAGGGUGCGUAGGUGGCUUUUUAAGCCAGUGGUGAAACACAGCCGCUCAACGGGUGAGGUGCCAUUGAUACUGAAAAACUUGAAACAAGUGGAGGCUGCAGGAAUGGAUGGAGUAGCGAUGAAAUGCAUAGUUAUCAUCCAGAACACCGGUUACGGAGGCAGGUGGCUACGUUUGAUUUGACACUGAGGCACGGAAGCGUGGGGAGAAAACA
Molecule: ribosomal RNA, 422 nt
Filed under: uncultured bacterium
Lineage: Bacteria
Description: bacterial SSU rRNA
Rfam family: Bacterial small subunit ribosomal RNA
Source: RNAcentral